This 649-nucleotide ribosomal RNA is filed under the name uncultured archaeon. RNAcentral's name for it is "bacterial SSU rRNA". It matches the Rfam family "Archaeal small subunit ribosomal RNA", at positions 5 to 655 of the family's 1478-position model. The record is from RNAcentral.
CGGUUGAUCCUGCCGGAAGUUACUGCUAUCGGUGUUCGACUAAGCCAUGCGAGUCAAAUGUUCUUCGUGAACAUGGCGGACUGCUCAGUAACACGUGGAUAACCUGCCCUUAGGUUCGGCAUAACUCCGGGAAACUGGAGAUAAUUCCGAAUAGGUCAAAUAUGCUGGAAUGCUUUUUGGCCAAAAGACCUCGGUUGCCUAAGGAUGGAUCUGCGGUCUAUCAGGUUGUAGUGGGUGUAACGUACCUACUAGCCUACGACGGAUAUGGGUUGUGAGAGCAAGAGCCCAGAGAUGGAUUCUGAGACAUGAAUCCAGGCCCUACGGGGCGCAGCAGGCGCGAAAACUUUACAAUGCGGGAAACCGCGAUAAGGGGACACCGAGUGCCAGCAUUUAUGUUGGCUGUCCACAUGUGUAAACGGCAUGUGUUAGCAAGGGCCGGGCAAGACCGGUGCCAGCCGCCGCGGUAACACCGGCGGCCCGAGUGGUAAUCACUUUUAUUGGGUCUAAAGGGUCCGUAGCCGGUUUGAUCAGUUCUUCGGGAAAUCUGACAGCUCAACUGUUAGGCUUCCGGGGAAUACUGUCAGACUUGGGACCGGGAGAGGUAAGAGGUACUACAGGGGUAGGAGUGAAAUCUUGUAAUCCCUGUGGG